UAAUGAUAAUAGAUAAUAAAUAUAUUAUAUAAAUAUUAAAUUUAUUAUUUAUAAUAAUAUCAUAAA
RNAcentral lists this transfer RNA (66 nucleotides) under Hydropsyche orris. Its description in RNAcentral is "tRNA-Asp". The record is from RNAcentral. Lineage: Eukaryota; Metazoa; Arthropoda; Insecta; Trichoptera; Hydropsychidae.